RNAcentral lists this long non-coding RNA (199 nucleotides) under Prunus persica (peach). RNAcentral describes it as "long non-coding RNA (PPER_LNC007519)". Lineage: Eukaryota; Viridiplantae; Streptophyta; Magnoliopsida; Rosales; Rosaceae. The record is from RNAcentral.
AAAAAUAACAUUUUCCCAAUAUUCUUGUUGCUCACCACAAUCAUUUAUCCAACAUAUUGCUGAGUUGGAUUAGCAAUUAAAAUAGACAUGAACACACAGAUAAGCUUGAUUCAAUCAAGCUCCACAAGCCAACCCUAAACAUUUUGUCUUUUCAAUUUAUAAAUUUGAAAACCCAAAUAGACCCCAUUUUGAAACAAGA